RNAcentral lists this non-coding RNA (154 nucleotides) under Paramoeba aestuarina. Lineage: Eukaryota; Discosea; Flabellinia; Dactylopodida; Paramoebidae. The record is from RNAcentral.
AAAAGAUGGAAGAAACAGAAACAAACAAAGAAGAAAGCAACCCUCUUGGGGGUCUUUUCAUGGACUAUGCUUCCUCUGAUGAAGACCCUCCUUCUCCUUCUCCUUCUUCUUCUUCUCCCCCUUCUCCUUCUCCUUCUCCUUCUCCUUCAAAACG